AGGAAAAAGGUUGGUCUCUCUCUCUCUCUCUCUCUCUCUCUCUCUCACACACACACACACACACACAGAGAGAGAGAGAGAGAGAGAGAGAGAGAGAGAGAGAGAGAGAGAGAGAAAUUGG
Molecule: non-coding RNA, 121 nt
Organism: Podarcis lilfordi (Lilford's wall lizard)
Lineage: Eukaryota; Metazoa; Chordata; Lepidosauria; Squamata; Lacertidae
Source: the annotation of a GenBank genome assembly